Molecule: long non-coding RNA, 688 nt
Organism: Eurytemora carolleeae
Lineage: Eukaryota; Metazoa; Arthropoda; Copepoda; Calanoida; Temoridae
Exons: 3
Source: RefSeq, a predicted model, not a curated record
CGCUCCAAACCUUACCGCGUAGAGUGAUGACUCUGAUAUAUACUCUACGCAGUGAUAUGGGUGUUGCAUGUAGACUUUAAUCAGAAUAUUUGUAAACAUGAUUGAUGUCAGUUCUAAGUGAAAAUGUGUUGUGAAAGAUACACUGUACAUUGUACAAUUUUUAUCAUUUAGACAAAUAUAAAUGAUGAAUAUAUCAGAUCUUGAAUUUAGCUGGUAUAAAUUAUUGAAAGAAAGGAACUGUCAUCCUGAUUUAAAACCUUUGAUUUAAUCGCCUCUUUUUCAUAAGAACAUCCUUCACCCUGUGAAUGCUAAGCGCAGAUCAGCAAGAAAAUAUUCGAAAUUUGUCGCUUUCAUCUAAGAAAAAAGAUUUGAAAUAUGAAUUGUUGACAUGAAUCAAAUAAUGGGAGGAUUAAUAGAGGAGUUUGAAUGUCGUCUUUCUCUAGACCCAGAAACCAGUAGCAUCUUUAGUUUAGACGGGAGCAGCAGAUCAAACAUGAGCAGCGGAUCAGUUAGAAGUUCUAUUGGGAGCUCCACAGGCAGCUCAGAUAGUGGAGGCAGAUUAGCAGACGAAACAUCAGGGGAUGAGCGAAGAAAGAUUGAGAAUCGAUUGUUUCAACUUCUCCGGGAAAUGAUUCAAACAGAGCGGAAGUAUGUUCAGGAUCUUGAUGAGGUAAUUAUUCAAUCAAUC